GCUUACGGCCACACCGGCCUGAGUAGGCCUGAUCUCGUCCGAUCUCGGAAGCUAAGCAGGGUCGGACCUGGUUAGUACUUGCAUGGGACACUGCCUGGGAAUACCAGGUGCUGUAAGCU
Oncorhynchus mykiss (rainbow trout) is the source of this 119-nucleotide ribosomal RNA. The record is from Ensembl. Lineage: Eukaryota; Metazoa; Chordata; Actinopteri; Salmoniformes; Salmonidae.